Molecule: long non-coding RNA, 1624 nt
Organism: Gasterosteus aculeatus aculeatus (three-spined stickleback)
Lineage: Eukaryota; Metazoa; Chordata; Actinopteri; Perciformes; Gasterosteidae
Source: Ensembl
GUUUCGCUGCAUUCAUAUGCUAAUUAGGGCAAUUCGCACCUCCGCCAGCUCUCCGCCUACGUCAUGGUUCGUUUCCGACAAUUUGUGGCACAGACAAACGCGACGUGCGCGGGUUGCAAAUUGUCGGAAACGGUCGGAAAUUAGGGAGAUUUCCGGGCGUUUACGUGGACGAAAAUCUCACUUUUCAUGCAGUGUUUCGGAUGUAUACUAUUAGUCUGAAGUGAAAUCAUCAUGUAACUAUUGAUAGUUUCCUUUUAAUCCUAACCUGAAUUUGAACAAAAGUAGUCUCUUGAUAGAGAAUUUAAAGGAAAUCGGCUCAUGUAUGGUAUUUUGAGAGGCUUUCAUUUUGGAAUAGUAGAUCAGAAUGUCCUGAUUAACCCUUCGUGACACCUUGCGGAUGUUUUCUAUCUGCCUGAAGUCAAAUGAUCGUUUUACAAUUGAUAGUUUCCUUUUCAAAAUAAUCUGAAAUUGACCAGAUUCCCGUGAUCGAGAAUUUGAAAUAAAUCGGCUCAUGUUUGGUAUUUUGAGAGGCUUUAGUUUUGGAAUAGUAGAUCGGAAUGUCUUGCUCAUCCCUGUGUGACACCUUGGGGAUGUGUACUAUCAACCUGAACAGAAAUUAUCAAGUAACUAUUGAUAGUUUCCUUUUAAUUGUAAUCUUAUAUUGACCUGAAGUAGUCUCGUGAAAUUAGACUUUGAAGGAAGUUGGCUCAUGUAUGGUAUUUUUAGAGGCUUUAAUUUUGGAAUGGUACAUCAGAAUGUCCUGGUUAUCGCUGAGUGACACCUUGGGUAUGUGUACUAUUAGUCUGAAGUGAAAUGAUCAUGUAACUACUGAUAGUUUCCUUUUAAUUCUAACCUGAAAUUGACCAGAAGUUGGCUGGGGAGUGGCCUAAGACCUUAAUAAUGUUAAAGAGGACCCAUCCAACGCCGCUCGCAGCCCUAAUUUCAUUUAGAUUUUUUGAUCAGAAAGAAUUUUAUUUGCAUUGAUAUAACAAUAUGGUUGUACAUUUAAAAAAUAAUUGAUUGCAAUUUUUAUAUUCCAUUAAUUGGAAAGCCACUGAGGGACGAGUCACAAAAUGUUAUUUUAAUACAAAUUCAACAUUUACAAUAUUGUUGGGGCGGUGCGGCGUGAACAUUUACUGUAUCUUCAAAAGUGGGUUGUGACAGAAGUUUGAAAACCACUGAAUUAUUGCCGCUGCUGUUAAUAUUACAUAAUGAAAAUGAACACAUGCUAAUAUUAAGAACCUUUUCAGGCCAAUAUAAGCCAGAGUGUUUGUCCGAGAAAGACUCAGACGACUCAAACACCCAAAACAAAUGAGCACACACUCAAUUGUUAUGUGACUGAGGUUUCACAGCACUCACAAACAAAGUCUGUCAAUGCAGGAAUCAACAAAAAUGUCAUAGCUUCUUCAAAUCUUUAAAGUUGAAAAAACAUUAUUUGCAUGACAUGCUUUUAUUGAAAAAAAUUGUUAAUCCCGAAAACCUUAAUUCCAACGAAUUGGUUUAAGUAAUGAAAGAUUGCAACAAUAUAUUUAACAUGUGUUAAAUGUUUGGUUACUCCGGAUACAACAAUUGUCACAUAGUUUGAGCAUAAUCUAUUCAAUUUUAAUUUUUUUCUUCACAUUUU